UGGCUCAGAAGUGAACGCUGGCGGUGCGCCUAACACAUGCAAGUCGCGCGGUCCGCAAGGACAGCGGCGAACGGCUGCGUAACACGUUGGUACCUGCCCCGGACUCAGGGAUAACCCCGCGAAAGCGGGGCUAAUACCGGAUGGUCCCGCAAGGGUAAAGCUUUUGCGGUCCGGGAGGGGCCUGCGGCCUAUCAGAUAGUUGGUGAGGUAACGGCUCACCAAGUCUAUGACGGGUAGCUGGUCUGAGAGGACGACCAGCCAGAAUGGGACUGAGACACGGCCCAUACUCCUACGGGAGGCAGCAGUGAGGAAUCUUCCGCAAUGGGCGAAAGCCUGACGGAGCGACACCGCGUGAAGGAUGAAGCCCUUACCGGGUGUAAACUUCUGUUCUGAGGGACGAAAUUUUUGACGGUACCUCAGAAGGAAGCACCGGCUAACUCCGUGCCAGCAGCCGCGGUAAUACGGAGGGUGCAAGCGUUGCUCGGAAUUAUUGGGCGUAAAGGGUAGGUAGGUGGUCUUAUUUGUCUGGGGUGAAAGCCUUGAGCUUAACUCAAGAAGUGCCCCAGAAACGGUGAGACUAGAGUCCUGGAGAGGGUCGUGGAAUUCCCGGUGUAGCGGUGAAAUGCGUAGAGAUCGGGAGGAACACCAGAGGCGAAGGCGGCGACCUGGACAGGCACUGACACUCAACUACGAAAGCGUGGGGAGCAAACAGGAUUAGAUACCCUGGUAGUCCACGCUGUAAACGAUGGGUACUAGGUUUGGUGGGUCUUGACCCCCGCCGAACCGGCGCUAACGCACUAAGUACCCCGCCUGGGAAGUACGGUCGCAAGACUAAAACUC
Molecule: ribosomal RNA, 840 nt
Filed under: uncultured bacterium
Lineage: Bacteria
Description: bacterial SSU rRNA
Rfam family: Bacterial small subunit ribosomal RNA
Source: RNAcentral